AACGAACGCUGGCGGCAUGCCUAACACAUGCAAGUCGAACGAGAGCUUCGGGUCUCGUGGCGCACGGGUGUGUAAAGCGUUGGAACCUGCCGUUAGGCUCGGAAUAACACCUUGAAAGGGGUGCUAAUACAGGAUAACGUAUUCGAACCAAAGAUUUAUCGCCCUUGGAUGAGCGCGCGUUGGUAUAGCUUGUUGGUAGGGUAUAAGCCUACCUAGGCGUCGAUCCAUAGCUGGUCUGAGAGGAUGAUCAGCCACACUGAGACUGAGACACGGCCCAGACUCCUACAGGAGGCGGCAGUGGGGAAUAUUGGACUAUGGGCGAAAGGCUGAUCCAGCAAUGCCGCGUGAGUGAUUAAGUCCUGAGGGAUGUAAAGCUCUUUUACCCGGGAUGAUAAUGACAGUACCGAGAGAAUAAGCUCCGGCUAACUCCGUG
This 433-nucleotide ribosomal RNA is filed under the name uncultured bacterium. Its description in RNAcentral is "partial 16S ribosomal RNA". It matches the Rfam family "Bacterial small subunit ribosomal RNA", at positions 29 to 507 of the family's 1533-position model. The record is from RNAcentral.